GUGGGGAAUAUUGCACAAUGGGGGAAACCCUGAUGCAGCAACGCCGCGUGAGUGAUGAAGGUCUUCGGAUUGUAAAGCUCUGUCUUUUGGGACGAUAAUGACGGUACCAAAGGAGGAAGCCACGGCUAACUACGUGCCAGCAGCCGCGGUAAUACGUAGGUGGCGAGCGUUGUCCGGAAUUACUGGGCGUAAAGGAUGCGUAGGCGGAUAUUUAAGUCAGAUGUGAAAUACCCGGGCUUAACUUGGGUGCUGCAUUUGAAACUGGAUAUCUAGAGUGCGGGAGAGGAAAGUGGAAUUCCUAGUGUAGCGGUGAAAUGCGUAGAGAUUAGGAAGAACACCAGUGGCGAAGGCGACUUUCUGGACCGUAACUGACGCUGAGGCAUGAAAGCGUGGGUAGCAAACAGGAUUAGAUACCCCAGUAGUCC
RNAcentral lists this ribosomal RNA (425 nucleotides) under uncultured bacterium. RNAcentral's name for it is "bacterial SSU rRNA". It matches the Rfam family "Bacterial small subunit ribosomal RNA", at positions 354 to 796 of the family's 1533-position model. The record is from RNAcentral.